GCUGCAGUAGCUCAGUCGGUAGAGCACAUCCUUGGUAAGGAUGAGGUCAUCGGUUCAAUCCCGAUCUGCAGCUCCA
RNAcentral lists this transfer RNA (76 nucleotides) under Candidatus Omnitrophota bacterium. RNAcentral describes it as "Candidatus Omnitrophica bacterium tRNA-Thr". It matches the Rfam family "tRNA". From Rfam's summary of the family: Transfer RNA (tRNA) molecules are approximately 80 nucleotides in length. Their secondary structure includes four short double-helical elements and three loops (D, anti-codon, and T loops). Further hydrogen bonds mediate the characteristic L-shaped molecular structure. tRNAs have two regions of fundamental functional importance: the anti-codon, which is responsible for specific mRNA codon recognition, and the 3' end, to which the tRNAs corresponding amino acid is attached (by aminoacyl-tRNA synthetases). tRNAs cope with the degeneracy of the genetic code in two manners: having more than one tRNA (with a specific anti-codon) for a particular amino acid; and 'wobble' base-pairing, i.e. permitting non-standard base-pairing at the 3rd anti-codon position. Lineage: Bacteria; Pseudomonadati; Candidatus Omnitrophota. The record is from RNAcentral.